Molecule: ribosomal RNA, 274 nt
Filed under: uncultured bacterium
Lineage: Bacteria
Description: partial 16S ribosomal RNA
Rfam family: Bacterial small subunit ribosomal RNA
Source: RNAcentral
AUACGGAGGGUGCAAGCGUUAAUCGGAAUUACUGGGCGUAAAGCGUACGUAGGCGGUCCGUUAAGUUAGAUGUGAAAGCCCCGGGCUUAACCUGGGAACUGCAUUUAAAACUGGCGGACUAGAGUUGAGUAGAGGGGAGUGGAAUUUCAGGUGUAGCGGUGAAAUGCGUAGAGAUCUGAAGGAACACCAGUGGCGAAGGCGACUCCCUGGACUCGAACUGACGCUGAGGUACGAAAGCGUGGGUAGCAAACGGGAUUAGAUACCCCAGUAGUCC